CCACACAUUUAGUGGGAAAAUGGAGGAAAAAUAACUGCUAUUCAAAUUUCGCAAUCUGGUUUCUCCCCACCAGGCGCUGCCAAAUCCGCUGAAACGGUAGUUUUAAGUUCUUCAACUGCAUUUCUCUGAAUUACACUCGUGCGUACUUCGCAAAUUGAGCGCUGCAGUGAGAUAAAUUGUGAAAUUAAAACGAAGUUCUGUUUGUGUUGCCACCUUUGAUAUUUCAAUAAUCUUAGGAGAUGUUGAAUGUUUCACAUUUGAGUAGAAAACGUGACUGAAGUGCUGCCAAGCUGCCUCUGAGCUAAAAUAAAGAAAGAAAGAAAGAAAGAAGUGAGUCCCCUUCUUACCCCUGAGUUUAGGGUCAUAAACGGACUGGAAAGGAAUAAUCUUUUAUGAGGCCAGCAGAACAAAUCCCAGCGAUAACAGGAUUGGUGGGGAAACGACUGGUUUAAGGCUGCCUCAGCUCACUGCCAGCCAAAAAGCAAAUUGUAUAUUGCUGUAUAUGUUUACGUGCAUUGUUUUGUGGGCUAUAGAAAUAUACACUGGUAGCGUACACCUCACUAUCAUCAACAACAACAACGAUCGUAACAAUAAUAAUAUAUUUUAUGCAUGUGUCAUGCGCACCUUCUCAUGAUUAAAUUGUUCCUGUGUGUGCAUAUACAUCUUUAUGACUCAGUGGCUCUCUGGUUUCCAGUCCAUCCACUAAAU
This 708-nucleotide long non-coding RNA is filed under the name Takifugu rubripes (torafugu). RNAcentral's name for it is "lncRNA (ENSTRUG00000028702.1)". Lineage: Eukaryota; Metazoa; Chordata; Actinopteri; Tetraodontiformes; Tetraodontidae. The record is from RNAcentral.